GGCCCCUUCCAACAUGAAGGAGCAGCAUUCGGGGUUCAAAAUGAGCUGAGUCUCAUCCUCUGGCUGCACCCACUGACAUUUAACCCAACCAAUGAGAAUGCGUCUGUCUGCAGAGCAGAAGGGCUGUGCAGCGGAGAGACGGUUUAGUUGUUUCAUUCUACUGCAGUGGAAGAACUUCUCUCAUCGGUUUGGCUUUAACUCCAAAGACAUGUUGCUUUACUUCUUCUUACCUUUCUUUCACUUCAUAGCUCGGGGUUCAAUGCAGCAGGAAACCAGCAUCAAACCUGAAAGUACUGAAGAACAUGUUUCAGAGGGCAGAAGCAUCAACCUGACCUGUAAAUAUCAAGGUACUAUCUACAGUAUCCAGUGGUACCGACAAUACCGGAGAUCCAUACCAGAGUUCCUGCUCUACAUCACAGAGGAAGGAUCGAUUCAUCAGACGGCUCCUGGUGUCUCAGCUCACAUUAACAAAGCAGACAAACGUGUUGAUCUGGAGAUCUCGUCUGCUGCAGUGUCAGACUCUGCUGUGUACUACUGUGCUGUGAAGCCCACAGUGACAGGAAACACCAAGACUCUGUACAAGAACCUCUGGAGCAAAGACAACUCUGUACACCAUCCACCAGAGGGAGUCUCCAUCUGAAUAUCUUCAGCAGGAUGUGACGAUACUGUGUGGAUUAUUCAUAGUGGUGAUGAAAAAGAAGAAGGACAAAAACAGCAUGAUUGAAAGAACUGAUGAUAAUGAGGUGUUGUGUAAUAUUUCUUAUAUGAACAACACUUCAUCAUGGAGUGGAAAUAAAUAUACUAUGACAUCUAAAAGAGCUAAAAUUAAAAGAAAUUACUAAUUCCAAAAAU
Gasterosteus aculeatus aculeatus (three-spined stickleback) is the source of this 852-nucleotide non-coding RNA. The record is from the annotation of a RefSeq genome assembly. NCBI's taxonomy places the organism in Eukaryota, Metazoa, Chordata, Actinopteri, Perciformes, Gasterosteidae.